This 104-nucleotide small nucleolar RNA is filed under the name Carlito syrichta (Philippine tarsier). RNAcentral's name for it is "Small nucleolar RNA U13 (ENSTSYG00000033688.1)". It matches the Rfam family "Small nucleolar RNA U13". Lineage: Eukaryota; Metazoa; Chordata; Mammalia; Primates; Tarsiidae. The record is from Rfam by way of RNAcentral.
AUCCUUUUGUAGUUCAUAAGCGCAGUGAUUGGGUGUUCACACGCACGUGUGAGAUGUGCCACCCACAAACCUUGUUAUGACAUCGUCACAUUACCCAUCUGACA